UACAGAGGGGGCAAGCGUUGUUCGGAAUUACUGGGCGUAAAGGGCGCGUAGGCGGCCUGUUAAGUCGAACGUGAAAUCCCUGGGCUCAACCCAGGAACUGCGUCCGAGACUGGCAGGCUUGAAUCCGGGAGAGGGAUGUGGAAUUCCAGGUGUAGCGGUGAAAUGCGUAGAUAUCUGGAGGAACACCGGUGGCGAAGGCGGCUCACUGGCCCGGUACUGACGCUGAGGUGCGAAAGCGUGGGGAGCAAACAGG
RNAcentral lists this ribosomal RNA (253 nucleotides) under uncultured bacterium. RNAcentral's name for it is "partial 16S ribosomal RNA". It matches the Rfam family "Bacterial small subunit ribosomal RNA", at positions 524 to 776 of the family's 1533-position model. The record is from RNAcentral.